ACUCCUACGGGAGGCAGCAGUAGGGAAUUUUCCGCAAUGGACGAAAGUCUGACGGAGCAAUGCCGCGUGAGUGAUGAAGGUUUCGAAUCGUAAAGCUCUGUUGUAAGGGAAGAAUAGCAAGGAUAGGAAAUGAUCUUGUCUGACGGUACCUUACCAGAAAGCCACGGCUAACUACGUGCCAGCAGCCGCGGUAAUACGUAGGUGGCAAGCGUUAUCCGGAAUUAUUGGGCGUAAAGCGCAUGUAGGCGGCUUUUUAAGUCUGGUGUGAAAGCCUGUGGCUCAACCACAGAAUUGCAUUGGAUACUGGAAAGCUAGAAUCUUGGAGAGGUAAGUGGAAUUUCAUGUGUAGCGGUGGAAUGCGUAGAUAUAUGAAGGAACACCAAUGGCGAAGGCAGCUUACUGGACAAGUAUUGACGCUGAGAUGCGAAAGUGUGGUAGCAAAC
This 443-nucleotide ribosomal RNA is filed under the name uncultured bacterium. RNAcentral describes it as "bacterial SSU rRNA". It matches the Rfam family "Bacterial small subunit ribosomal RNA", at positions 335 to 773 of the family's 1533-position model. The record is from RNAcentral.